Long non-coding RNA from Acipenser ruthenus (sterlet), 1644 nucleotides. RefSeq lists it as uncharacterized. The record is from RefSeq and is a predicted model, not a curated record. NCBI's taxonomy places the organism in Eukaryota, Metazoa, Chordata, Actinopteri, Acipenseriformes, Acipenseridae. The transcript is spliced from 3 exons.
UGUAAAACGGGAUGGCACAUUAUAUAAAAAACUCAAUUUCCCAACAUCAAUAGCGCAGCCAGCCAGUGCCGCCUGGGUAGAAGCAGUAGAUUUAAAAAGCUGGCUGAACGAGUGAGAGAAGCAAGAGAGUGGAGAGUAGAAGGAUGGAGUAAGAAGAGGGAGGAAUGGAGAACACAGAGCGAAGCUCUCUACAUCGCAUACAUUGAACAAGCAGGUAGGACACCUUUAAAAGCAAAGUAGUAAAUCUUCUAAAUAUUAUUGAUGAGUGCAUUAAAAAGAUUGUAUUCCCUGAGAAUACGCAAUAAUUAUUCAGCGGGGUUGUUGUGGAUUUACAAAGCAAGCUGUGUGUCUGCAAGUGUUGUGUUUCAUAAAUCCAACGACCGGGAUAUACAAAAACAAAGCUUGAAGAAGGGACACCAUGCUGUAAGGAGCCAGGAGCCAGGCUUAAAGCACGGGAAUCAGAAAGGAUGGAGACAGUGAGUACUUUUUCAUACACACCGCGGGAGUCACUGUUUUGUUAAUGAAUGGGACUGUGGCAGAGCAGGGCUCUGCCCUUAGAAAUACUGGCAGGGAAGGAGUUAAAUUCUCCUCCCUGCCCAGGUUGAUUGUGUCAGGUGGGAGCAAUCGGUUAAUUCAUUAUCCAAUUAAGGACCCAGCCACCUGGCAUAAAAGGAGGCCUCAGCCUCCCAUUUGGGGGAGAGAGUUCUGGAAGGAGAAGGAGCCAGUGCUUUGUGUGUGCUGGUUUGCUGGUUGUUUUUGAAUCCAGUGAAGGCAACACCCAGCCUGGAAACCUUUAUUUUUGGACUGUUUAUUUUUGGGCUGAUGAACCUGCACCAGUUUGGGAUUGUAAUUAUACCACUUUUACCUGUGGAGAAGAGAUCCACAGGUCUACCGCAGGAUGGGUUUCCAACGUGUUCCAGGAGGAGGAGCCCUGUGUACUUGGAAUUGUGUUUGUUUCAACUAACACCCAGGUAACAGUAAUGUGCUGUUCCUCCAGAAGGGACACCUGUGAGCUGUCCACAGUGCAGUACCAAAAUGAUCCAAGCGUGGCUGCCUCUACUUACCUGCAAGUUCCAAUUCCUCAGCGCCCUCUGGUGGACAUUCCAGGAAACCUGUAAAAGUAAUAACUAAAAGCAAACGGAGUUCAUACAAAUGUGGAAUGGUACUCCACUCACCUUGUAACUCUACGCCUGAGGAUCCAAGCUGCUGUUGACAAGAACUCUGGAAAAUAACUCUGGAUUGUGGUGUGUAAUAAUAUAUGUAAACAUAACUUUGUUAUUUACAUGUUCUAAAUUGAGUCAGCAAUCCUGCAAUUACAUGGGCCUCACAGUCCACACUAUAUAGGAACUUGAUUUAUAGGAAAUCUUGGCUAUUCCCAUAGCUAUCCUGGUUUGAGCAACAUUCAAAAAGAGACAUUAUGGACAGCUCUAAUCACUCUAUCACGUACAAAACAAUAUUUUAUUAUCCAUGGGUAUAUUUGAGAUUUGCAGUCAAAAAGUGGAAAACCUGUUUCCUGUUCUCCUUGAUGAGUGUAACAGGUGAUGAUUGUGUUGAGCCAUUGUGAGAUUUUAAAGUCUGCUAAGGCAUUAUUGUUUUGAUUAUACUGUGUCUGUAUAGUAAUAAAAAUAAAUUUAAAAAAAAAAA